AACGCACGAGACCUGCGGACCUGCGGAAGGAUCAUUACCGAGUUUACAACUCCCAAACCCAAUGUGAACGUUACCAAACUGUUGCCUCGGCGGGAUCUCUGCCCCGGGUGCGUCGCAGCCCCGGACCAAGGCGCCCGCCGGAGGACCAACCUAAAACUCUUUUGUAUACCCCCUCGCGGGUUUUUUAUAUCUGAGCCAUCUCGGCGCCUCUCGUAGGCGUUUCGAAAAUGAAUCAAAACU
This 240-nucleotide unclassified non-coding RNA is filed under the name soil metagenome. RNAcentral's name for it is "partial contains 5.8S ribosomal RNA, internal transcribed spacer 2, and large subunit ribosomal RNA". The record is from RNAcentral.